RNAcentral lists this ribosomal RNA (505 nucleotides) under uncultured bacterium. Its description in RNAcentral is "partial 16S ribosomal RNA". It matches the Rfam family "Bacterial small subunit ribosomal RNA", at positions 30 to 523 of the family's 1533-position model. The record is from RNAcentral.
AUUGAACGCUAGCGGCAUGCCUAACACAUGCAAGUCGAACGGCAGCACGAGGAGCUUGCUCCUUGGUGGCGAGUGGCGGACGGGUGAGUAACGCGUAGGAAUCUACCUUAUAGUGGGGGGUAACCCGGGGAAACUCGGGCUAAUACCGCAUAAUCUCUACGGAGCAAAGUUGGGGACCUUUUAGGCCUCACGCUAUUAGACGAGCCUGCGUCGGAUUAGCUAGUUGGUGGGGUAAAGGCCUACCAAGGCGACGAUCCGUAGCUGGACUGAGCGGACGACCAGCCACACUGGGACUGAGACACGGCCCGAACUCCUACGGGAGGCAGCAGUGGGGAAUAUUGGACAAUGGGCGCAAGCCUGAUCCAGCAAUGCCGCGUGUGUGAAGAAGGCCCUCGGGUUGUAAAGCACUUUCAGUGGGGAAGAAAAAGUCGGAGAUAGUAUCUCCGAAAAUUGACGUUACCCACAGAAAAAGCACUGGCUAACUCUGUGCCAGCCGCUGCCGUAA